UGGGGAAUCUUGCGCAAUGGGCGAAAGCCUGACGCAGCCAUGCCGCGUGAGUGAUGAAGGCCUUAGGGUUGUAAAACUCUUUCACCGGGGACGAUAAUGACGGUACCCGGAGAAGAAGCCCCGACUAACUUCGUGCCAGCAGCCGCGGUAAUACGAAGGGGGCUAGCGUUGCUCGGAAUUACUGGGCGUAAAGGGCGCGUAGGCGGAUCAGCAAGUUGGGGGUGAAAGCCCGGGGCUCAACCUCGGAAUUGCCUUCAAAACUGCUGAUCUAGAGUACGGGAGAGGUGUGUGGAACUCCGAGUGUAGAGGUGAAAUUCGUAGAUAUUCGGAAGAACACCAGUGGCGAAGGCGACACACUGGCCCGUUACUGACGCUGAGGCGCGAAAGCGUGGGGAGCGAACAGGAUUAGAUACCCUGGUAGUCCACGCUGUAAACGAUGAUUGCUAGUUGUCGGCAGGCAUGCCUGUCGGUGACGCAGCUAACGCAUUAAGCAAUCCGCCUGGGGGAGUACGGUCGCAAGAUUAAAACUCAAAUGAAUUGACGGGGGUCAUAGCUG
Molecule: ribosomal RNA, 556 nt
Filed under: uncultured bacterium
Lineage: Bacteria
Description: partial 16S ribosomal RNA
Rfam family: Bacterial small subunit ribosomal RNA
Source: RNAcentral